RNAcentral lists this non-coding RNA (28 nucleotides) under Bombyx mori (domestic silkworm). The record is from RNAcentral. Lineage: Eukaryota; Metazoa; Arthropoda; Insecta; Lepidoptera; Bombycidae.
UACUGUUUUGCUGUUAAAAAACCUAAAU